RNAcentral lists this long non-coding RNA (268 nucleotides) under Ananas comosus (pineapple). RNAcentral's name for it is "long non-coding RNA (ACOM_LNC034816)". Lineage: Eukaryota; Viridiplantae; Streptophyta; Magnoliopsida; Poales; Bromeliaceae. The record is from RNAcentral.
ACAACCGUGUUCAAAAUUAUGAGAAAAAUUAAAAAAAAGAAAUGACGCCAUGUGACAAAAUUAUGAGAAAUAAUGAUAAGGAAUAGAUGUAUAUGUAAAUAGGAAAAAUUUCCUGAAUUAUGGAUUGUUUUGAUUCAAUCAUCUAAUUUUUUAAAUAUUUGAUUUUAUUAUCUAAUUUUUUAAUUUAUUUGAUAUAAGCUAUUUGGCUGUUCUUUUACGUACAAAUUUUAAGCUCAUUAUUUAUGUUAAAAAGAAUUAUAGUUGGAUA